UGCUCACAGUGUCACAAUGUGUGUCUAGGC
RNAcentral lists this non-coding RNA (30 nucleotides) under Mus musculus (house mouse). The record is from RNAcentral. Lineage: Eukaryota; Metazoa; Chordata; Mammalia; Rodentia; Muridae.